This 75-nucleotide transfer RNA is filed under the name halophilic archaeon DL31. RNAcentral's name for it is "tRNA-Met". It matches the Rfam family "tRNA". Rfam says of the family: Transfer RNA (tRNA) molecules are approximately 80 nucleotides in length. Their secondary structure includes four short double-helical elements and three loops (D, anti-codon, and T loops). The record is from RNAcentral. Lineage: Archaea; Methanobacteriati; Methanobacteriota; Halobacteria; Halobacteriales.
GGGCCCUUAGCUUAGUCUGGUUAGAGCCCCCGGCUCAUAACCGGGUGGUCGGUGGUUCAAAUCCGCCAGGGCCCA